RNAcentral lists this small RNA (1682 nucleotides) under Histoplasma ohiense. RNAcentral describes it as "hypothetical lncRNA". Lineage: Eukaryota; Fungi; Ascomycota; Eurotiomycetes; Onygenales; Ajellomycetaceae. The record is from RNAcentral.
GCACUCACAUUUUCGAUUAUUUUCUGAUUCUGAUUCUGAUUUCCUUUAUUUUCUUUUCUUUUUGAUUUGAACAAAAUUACUUCAUUUUUUCAGGUUCAAACUUCCUCACAAACAUGUGUUAUUCGGGGAUUCAGCCACUACAAUUUUCAGAAAGAACAAAAAUACAAAAAGAAUUCCAAGAUUCAUAGCCAUGCCCAAGGUUAAGACUCUCCAGAGGCUUCCAUCCACGUCGAUCACAGCGCAUCGCCACAAUGAAUGAUAAAGAUGACGAUGCAGAGCCUUCGCGUUCAAGCCAACAGCUCUCAGAGAUGUCAACAUUACAAGAGAGUUUGUAAUCUUGGGAGCAGAAAGUUAACAAGGCCAAAGAUCAUAUUAGCCGUUAUGUCCCUGGCCAGUGGGCUCAUACCAAGAGCACUGACAAUAGCUUAAUACCCUGUUUAAACGCGUGCCUUGAUUGGCUGCCCACAGAAGGUGUGGAUUCUCUGGUCCAUGAUGUGGAGAGUUGCAGUGACAAUGAUGAAGCUCUUUAUUAUGUCUUCAAAAAUUUGGCAUCUGGACUUUUGCAGCCCAGUGAGUUCAGAUUUAUUUAUUUCUUUCUUAUUUUCUUCUCUCUAGGUACCUUUCUUUGAUGAAUCAAAAUAUUGAAUUUUUUUUUUUGCCAUAGUGAAAGCUCUGAGUCCCGGGGCUUCUGUGACUGAAUCUCAUAUCAUCAAGUGCCAAAGAAAUGCAGAUCUCGUUGCUGCGAACCUCCCCGAACCCCAAUCACGAACUGAUGAAUUCCGUGACAUAUGCCUUCGUCGAGAUGGAUCUCGCUGUGUUGUAACACAACGGAUGGAUUUAAACCUUUGGAAGAGUAUCAAUCGGCCUUCUGACAUCAAUCAUGGUGAUGUAGAGGCGGCACACAUAAUACCUUUCGCCUAUGCUUCAUGGCAUGGUAUUUCGGGGGAGAAAAAAUGCUGCAAAUGACUGGGAGACUUUGUACCAAGCACUGAUGAUGUCCGUUGGGACCAUCAAAAGAGAAUUGGUCAAGCAAGGUCCGGAUAUACUGCCUUCCACGGCAAUGUGGAUCACCUUUCGUCAAUAGAUGGAUGAUUUUGCCCUCAUUACUGGUCUCCGAAGCUCCCGCAACCAGUAUCUUCAGCGACACAUAGCGCUGGAGAUGCUGGUCGCGAGGGAGCCAGAUUGUUGAAUAAGCACCAAAUCCAAGCUUGUGAACUAUUUUGUAGCGACCGCUACAAAAGGUGUCUCCAACAAGAGUUGGAUGGUAUCCGCCGGGCCUGUAUCCUUCCAAAUCCUCCACAUCUACCUCGGGGUAGUAAAUUCUUUCAUCUUCCGGAGGGAGUGAUUCGGCCAUGGAAUGGUAACACGGAAUUACUGGCUGGGAGGCAAGCCGGAGUCGCGACGCUGGAGACUUAUGAGGAAGCAGUUGGUGACUGUGCUGAAAGAUGACGAAGCGAGAGAGAAAAGUGCCAACUCUGUCAACAGAAGCAUAUCUCCAGCCAACACUCAUUGUCUUGUUGAUGGGUAAGGAGUUGAGGAUAUGUUCAGGAUAGUUGCUGAUGAUACCUGAGAUAAGGCAAUUGCAGGUGGAGCUCAGGUACGCUAUAACUGAAUUAAAAAGAGGGCGGUACGAUCGUCAACUCCAUGUAGCACGUCUUACAUCACAGACUAUUUCCGCACAU